This 443-nucleotide ribosomal RNA is filed under the name uncultured Rhodoferax sp. Its description in RNAcentral is "bacterial SSU rRNA". It matches the Rfam family "Bacterial small subunit ribosomal RNA", at positions 933 to 1382 of the family's 1533-position model. The record is from RNAcentral. Lineage: Bacteria; Pseudomonadati; Pseudomonadota; Betaproteobacteria; Burkholderiales; Comamonadaceae.
UGGAUGAUGUGGUUAAUCGAUGCAACGCGAAAACCUUACCCACCUUUGACAUGUACGGAACCUUUAGAGAUAGAGGGUGCUCGAAAGAGAGCCGUAACACAGGUGCUGCAUGGCUGUCGUCAGCUCGUGUCGUGAGAUGUUGGGUUAAGUCCCGCAACGAGCGCAACCCUUGUCAUUAGUUGCUACAUUCAGUUGGGCACUCUAAUGAGACUGCCGGUGACAAGCCGGAGGAAGUGGGGAUGACGUCAAGUCCUCAUGGCCCUUAUAGGUGGGGCUACACACGUCAUACAAUGGCUGGUACAAAGGGUUGCCAACCCGCGAGGGGGAGCCAAUCCCAUAAAGCCAGUCGUAGUCCGGAUCGUAGUCUGCAACUCGACUACGUGAAGUCGGAAUCGCUAGUAAUCGUGGAUCAGAAUGUCACGGUGAAUACGUUCCCGGGCCUU